AGUAACGCGUGGGUAACCUGCCUUAUACAGGGGGAUAACAGUCAGAAAUGGCUGCUAAUACCGCAUAAGCGCACAGAGCUGCAUGGCUCAGUGUGAAAAACUCCGGUGGUAUAAGAUGGACCCGCGUUGGAUUAGCUUGUUGGUGGGGUAACGGCCCACCAAGGCGACGAUCCAUAGCCGGCCUGAGAGGGUGAACGGCCACAUUGGGACUGAGACACGGCCCAG
Molecule: ribosomal RNA, 225 nt
Filed under: uncultured bacterium
Lineage: Bacteria
Description: partial 16S ribosomal RNA
Rfam family: Bacterial small subunit ribosomal RNA
Source: RNAcentral